Molecule: ribosomal RNA, 555 nt
Filed under: uncultured Archaeorhizomycetes
Lineage: Eukaryota; Fungi; Ascomycota; Archaeorhizomycetes
Description: eukaryotic LSU rRNA
Rfam family: 5.8S ribosomal RNA (bases 138-289)
Source: RNAcentral
UCCGUAGGUGAACCUGCGGAGGGAUCAUUAAUGAACGGCUUUGCCUUCAACCUUCAACCCGUGGAAGCAAGACGUGCUUUGGCGCUCCGGCGCCGACUUUAUGCGGUAGAUUUUUGUCUGAAUCAAGCAAGAACUAAAACUUUCAACAAAGGAUCUCUUGGCUCUCGCAUCGAUGAAGAACGCAGCGAAGCGCGAAAUGUAGUGUGAACCGCAGAACAUUGUGAAUCAUCGAAUCUUUGAACGCACAUUGCGCCUCCCUUCAACGGGAGGCAUGCCUGUCUGAGCGUCAUUUAAACCAUAGCCUAGGGCUGUAUUGGGCCUCGCGUGUGCGUAGCCUCAAAGCCAUCGGUCGAAAGCGGACGAGAUCCACCUGGACUGACCGUUUGAGACCUUAAACCUCCGACUUGACCUCAGAUCAGGCAGGGCUACCGCCUGAACUUAAGCAUAUCAAUAAGCGGAGGAAAUAUAUGGUUCCGGUGGUUACUUGCCAAAACCCCCCUUUUUUCUANGNUGACCUCNGAUCANGUANGGAUACCCGNUGAACUUANNCAUAUC